UUGCAAACUCCGAAUACCAGUAAGUACUAUCCGGGAGACACACGGCGGGUGCUAACGUCCGUCGUGGAGAGGGAAACAACCCAGACCGCCAGCUAAGGUCCCAAAGUAUUGCUAAGUGGGAAACGAUGUGGGAAGGCUCAGACAGCUAGGAUGUUGGCUUAGAAGCAGCCAUCAUUUAAAGAAAGCGUAAUAGCUCACUAGUCGAGUCGGCCUGCGCGGAAGAUGUAACGGGGCUAAGCAAUACACCGAAGCUGCGGCAAUGUCUUUUAGACAUUGGGUAGGGGAGCGUUCUGUAAGCCGUUGAAGGUGAAUCGUAAGG
Molecule: ribosomal RNA, 319 nt
Filed under: Vibrio cholerae
Lineage: Bacteria; Pseudomonadati; Pseudomonadota; Gammaproteobacteria; Vibrionales; Vibrionaceae
Description: partial 23S ribosomal RNA
Rfam family: Bacterial large subunit ribosomal RNA
Source: RNAcentral